Molecule: long non-coding RNA, 2528 nt
Organism: Artibeus jamaicensis (Jamaican fruit-eating bat)
Lineage: Eukaryota; Metazoa; Chordata; Mammalia; Chiroptera; Phyllostomidae
Exons: 6
Source: RefSeq, a predicted model, not a curated record
CAAAUGUACUAACCCCAGAAUAUAAUUUGAAAUAUGGCUAACAGAAAACCUCACAUAAUGAAGUCAACAAAAUGAUAAGAGGAGCUUGUUGCAAAACAUUUGUAAAUGUAACUCAGUGCCAAAACAUUGUUUUUCAAAGUCAAAGUAGAGGCAGACAGAGUUCACAGGAAAUUGUGGGAUUGAAACAUGCCUGAAGCAAAGAUCUAGAGCAAACAUCAUGAGCCAUUCCUCAUCACCACAGUCAUUGGAGAUAGAUGCUUGUGGCUUGGGGAAUUAUUCUCAUUUCCAGUUUGUGGGUGCAGGCAGUGAGAGUUCCAGAAAAGAAGACAUGUUUUCAUGACAAAUCAGUGUCAGUCAUUGUCAAGACUUACACAGCAGUCCUCACAAGAAGGAUUCUGAAGUACAUUAAUUUAUUGAGACCCUGUAUCUUCCUUGAAGGUAGACAGAGAUCUUCACUAUCAAGUGGAUUGCUGUGGUCGAGGUGCACACUGGGUGCCAUGGGAGAUCAGAGGGCAAUGCUCAUACCAACUGGAGUUAAGGGAGGCUUCCUGGUAAAGACUCUAAGCUCCAGAAGAGGUAGUACAUUGGCAAACAGCCCUCUCUGCAUCUCCAGAACCCAGUACAGAGAAGGAGUGAAGAAACCAACUAAUUAUGACUGUUCAAGAGCCUGAAGAUUUCCUCUUGGCCUCCAGGUUGUGAAUGACUUGUUGACACUGGACUAAACCAUGGAAUUAAUGUUUUGUUAGUGAUGGUGGGACAGGAUGGCUGGAGUGAGCUGUCAUUUGGUAUUCUCCCUCCCCCGUUGGAAGAGUAGUGCUGACUGGAGUGCAUCUCUCCUUCCUACAGCUGUGUGUUUUUCUCCCACUAUGUUCAACUGCUCACGUUGAGGAGCAUGGCCGACGGUUGAGUUUCACCUGAGCUGGAGUUUGGCACGGCGUUGACAGUAGAGAGAAAGCACUGCUCCCACAAUUAUCUCUGCUUUCUUCCGCGUCAUCAGACUGUUAUUCAGUAAGGUAACUGAGGCUUUGCAGCCCAAUUACUGUGAGACAUGCUAACAGUGGACACCUGGAUGACAGAGAGAAACACCUACUGCUAACUGCUUUCCCUGCAGAUCCUACAAAGAUGAUAGCAAAGGGCUUUUCAAAAGGGCCCAGAGCCUCCAUGAAUGGGUGAAAUGUGACAAGCUGGAAGCAGGAAAGUAGGCUGAAGGGUGGUAAGUAAUGUAAGAGACCUGAGAAAGGAGGACUCUAAGCUGGCUGUGGGGUAAGCCAAGUACCCGGACUUAUAAGGUAGAACCUUGCAGAUGCUCAGGAACUGAUGCUGAGAUAUACGGUGUAUCAGUAAAGGGAUGGAAAACCCAGGCAGUCUGGCUGGAAGUCUGUUGAGGGAGCACUCAGGACUGCAGCGUAUCUGAAGACUGAAACAAAAGUGUGUCUUUAGACUGGACUGCACGGUGGGCGUGGGGGCAGUGCAUUCCCAGCUGAAGGCAGCUGUACUUUAUGGGGGUGUUUCCCAGAACACUGGUGGCCAGGCUGACUGACAUCCUUCAGAGAGGAACUUAGAAGAAUUUUAUCUGGGCAAUGUGACCAGCCUAAGAGCAGAAGCACUAAAAAAUAAUGACAGUGAAGAUUUUCAAUAGUAGAGGCCAGAGAAUAAGUUUUAUCUCGGCAGAACUUCCAAAGGGCUGUUUCCUCAUGCUCACUUUCAAGUAAGAGCGGGCAGCUAAAGCUAAAGAUCAUGAGAUUCUGAGAAAACCUCCCAAAACAUAGUCCAAAAUAGACUGGGGGAAAAAGAGAGAACAAACAUCUGAUGGAAUGGACCAUGUAAGAAAGAGGGAAAAAAACAUUAGGUUAUAAAAAUGAGAAAAUGUCCCAGUAAACAGAAAAAUAAGACUAUAUGAGCACCCAGUUUAGAAUCUGGUCCAACACUAAAUAAUAUGAUUCUGGAGAAAGAACAGGGAAAAUGAUGGCAAGGAAUUCAUUACUUGUUUUUUAGUUCUCUGAUUAGAACCCUUGAAGAGACUCCACAUUUCCUGGAAAAAAAAAGCCAAACUCUUUUCAUGAACACUGAUUCUUGGUCCUAUUUAAACUGGCAAGCAGCACACCACUGGCCCUUCUACUUCUAUCCCUCCCCUCAUAAUUCUUAUCACUUAAAUACUACGCACUAACUCAUUUUAUCCUUGGUAUUUAUUGUCUACACCUUUUGUUAAACUGUAAACACCACAAACUUGCUCACUGAAGUAUCUCUAACAUCUAGACCUAGCGAAUGCUCAAUAAAAAGAUGCUGAAUGAAUUCAAUGAGUAAAGGAGCAGGAAUAAGAAUGGUACUGGGCUGCCCUGGCUGGUAUAGCUCAGUGGAUUGAGCGCAGGCCUGCGAACCAAAGGACUGCAGUUCGAUUCCCAGUCAGGGCACAUGCCUGGGUUGCAGGCCAGUUCCCAGCAGGGGAUGCACGAGAGGCAACCAUAUACUGAUGUUUCUCUCCCUCUCUCUUUCCCUUCCCCUCUAAAGAUAAAUUAAAAAAAAAAAAA